AUUGACCUACGGGGGGCAGCAGUGGGGAAUAUUGCGCAAUGGGCGAAAGCCUGACGCAGCGACGCGGCGUGAGAGAUGAAGGUCUUCGGAUCGUAAACCUCUGUCAGCAGGGAAGAACGGUCACUGUGCUAAUCAGCAGUGAAUUGACGGUACCUGCAAAGGAAGCACCGGCUAACUCCGUGCCAGCAGCCGCGGUAAUCCGGAGGGAGCGAGCGUUAAUCGGAAUUACUGGGCGUAAAGCGCUCGUAGGCGGUAUGUCAAGUCAA
RNAcentral lists this ribosomal RNA (266 nucleotides) under uncultured bacterium. Its description in RNAcentral is "partial 16S ribosomal RNA". It matches the Rfam family "Bacterial small subunit ribosomal RNA", at positions 333 to 591 of the family's 1533-position model. The record is from RNAcentral.